Long non-coding RNA from Ceratina calcarata, 1265 nucleotides. RefSeq lists it as uncharacterized. Lineage: Eukaryota; Metazoa; Arthropoda; Insecta; Hymenoptera; Apidae. The transcript is spliced from 3 exons. The record is from RefSeq and is a predicted model, not a curated record.
AUGAUACACCGUGUCAUUUGCUCUAAUCGUGUAACGAUAUCAAUUACCCGAGCGGUUCUCGAGGCUUGAUAUUUGUUGCGCUGUGUCAUUGCGCCGACCGCUGGGUUCGGAAUAAAACGGAUCGUCAGAGAAUGAAAUGAAAGUGCCCUGUCUUCGGUACGAGAUCGCUUUUGUAUAUCGGGCGCGGCGCGUAACCGUUUCGUAGUAACCGAAGAGUGAGAAAUGUGUUACGACAGUUGAGCCACGGAGUGAAACUGCGUUCCAACCGUUCGACUUCAGUGAUUCGGAUAUUGUGACAGGGUAAAGUGGUCGAUGGCAAUGGUGGAACUAGCGGGAAAAACCGCAGGUAUAGGCAGGACAAAAAAUGGUUAGGACAGGUCGACGGCCUCGUUGGACUAGUGCUCGCGUCGGAGUAAAACAGAGGCUUGCUACGGUGAUAGUGGAACGGGGGAUACAUACGUUACGGCAAUAAUGUACCAGCCAGACAUUAACUAUCAUUUUAUACAUCUUAACUGCGGCCAAUUAAAAACUUAUUUAUGGCGUACUGUCCUUCUCAUCGUCUUGGUGCAGAACGAACGAGGCGAAGUUGCACCCGAGAGACCAGCACGGAAAGGGUCCUGAACCCGCCCGCUUGCUCGUCGACCCGGCUAGUUAUCCGCGCACACGGACAGCCGGAUAAAUACAAGACCUACAACGUGUCUCGAACAAACGCGUUACCCGACUACCUGCCUACGCGCAAUAGCGAGAGACCUGCACAGCCUCGAUCGGCCCGCAACGUCUACGCUUAGGUACACUAUAUCUUCGGUUAUCUCCGCCAGAGAGGAAUCGUAAAUUCGAGCUCGCGGGGCUAAGUUGUGCGUAAAACACUCGACGCGGCUCUCCUGCGAUGAUUUACGCGAUCCCGUCCGUCGUGCCUUACGGACGGCGUAAAUUGCGUCCGCGUAAACUUGCGCAUUUUUCCGGUGGCUAUCGCCGAGGGCUGCUUAACCACGCCAAGCCAGAGAUCAAGAAUGUUUCCGGAUGUUUCGUGUGCUCGCAACGCUCGUAAUGGAUUGAGCUGACGAUUCUAAGUAUAUUUACGUUUACCAAAGAGAUUCAUGGCUAGGCUUCGUCGUGCAACUUAUCAUUCUAUUAGUAACGUCGGUUUUCCAAAGUGGAUUUUAGUAUCGAAAGUACGAUAUUGAAAUGCGAGGUUCCUGAUGUAAUUUUAAACAAUAUUUUCCUUAGCGAAAAAGUUAUCCGAGGUGUGGUUGAGGAGUUAUUAA